This 253-nucleotide ribosomal RNA is filed under the name uncultured bacterium. RNAcentral's name for it is "partial 16S ribosomal RNA". It matches the Rfam family "Bacterial small subunit ribosomal RNA", at positions 524 to 776 of the family's 1533-position model. The record is from RNAcentral.
UACGAAGGGUGCAAGCGUUACUCGGAAUUACUGGGCGUAAAGCGUGCGUAGGUGGUUUGUUCAGUCUGAUGUGAAAGCCCUGGGCUCAACCUGGGAACUGCAUUGGAAACUGGCUUACUAGAGUGCGGUAGAGGGGUGCGGAAUUCCCGGUGUAGCAGUGAAAUGCGUAGAUAUCGGGAGGAACAUCCGUGGCGAAGGCGGCACCCUGGACCAGCACUGACACUGAGGCACGAAAGCGUGGGGAGCAAACAGG